CGGAAGGAUCAUUGUCGAAUCCCAAGCACAAAAAUGACUCGCGAAUAUGUUCAAUAACUUGCGUUGGGUGCCGGGGUAAAACCUGUCCCCUCUCGCUCCUUGCCCGAUCGAUCGUUGGUCGUGUUGGGUAACCAAAACAAAAAUCGGCGCGGGAAGCGCCAAGGGAUAUUACGAAAUGGGAUGCCUUUCUCGUGGAGGGGACCGUUUGCGGAAUCCUCACCAUGCUAUUCGAAAGGCCUCCACAAAUGAAACCUUAUACGACUCUCGGCAAUGGAUAUCUAGGCUCUUGCAUCGAUGAAGAACGUAGCAAAAUGCGAUACUUGGUGUGAAUUGCAGAAUCCCGUGAAUCAUCGAGUUUUUGAACGCAAGUUGCGCCCGAAGCCAUUAGGCCAAGGGCACGUCUGCCUGGGCGUCACGCAUUGCGUCGCCUCCCAUCAUCCUCGUCCCGAACGGGUCGUGGGUAAAUAUUGGGGGCGGAAUUUGGCUUCCCGUGCUCCAUCGCGGCCAGCCUAAAAUGUCGUUCCCUCGGCGCGCGCAUUGCGACAAGUGGUGGUCAAUUUGAUUGGGCGUAAGUUGUCGGAAGGUCGCGUCGAGUAGAGAGCGUUUGGACCUUGUGUUCAGGAGUCCCUCAUCGAGGGGAAAUUGUCCACGACCGGGACCCCAGGUCAGGC
Molecule: small RNA, 671 nt
Filed under: Riocreuxia torulosa
Lineage: Eukaryota; Viridiplantae; Streptophyta; Magnoliopsida; Gentianales; Apocynaceae
Description: eukaryotic LSU rRNA
Rfam family: 5.8S ribosomal RNA (bases 260-415)
Source: RNAcentral